MicroRNA precursor from Medicago truncatula (barrel medic), 73 nucleotides. It matches the Rfam family "MIR2629 microRNA precursor family". The record is from Rfam. NCBI's taxonomy places the organism in Eukaryota, Viridiplantae, Streptophyta, Magnoliopsida, Fabales, Fabaceae.
UACCGAGGUUUUCCUCGACAGUUAACUGCAGCCGGAUUUUUAAUUCCUUGGCAGUUAACUGCCGAGGAGGCAU